Molecule: ribosomal RNA, 251 nt
Filed under: uncultured bacterium
Lineage: Bacteria
Description: partial 16S ribosomal RNA
Rfam family: Bacterial small subunit ribosomal RNA
Source: RNAcentral
ACGUAUGGAGCAAGCGUUAUCCGGAUUUACUGGGUGUAAAGGGAGCGUAGGCGGCGGGGCAAGUCUGAUGUGAAAACCCGGGGCUCAACCCCGGGACUGCAUUGGAAACUGUCCUGCUAGAGUGUCGGAGGGGUAAGUGGAAUUCCUAGUGUAGCGGUGAAAUGCGUAGAUAUUAGGAGGAACACCGGUGGCGAAGGCGGCUUACUGGACGACAACUGACGCUGAGGCUCGAAAGCGUGGGGAGCAAACAG